GAUGAACGCUGGCGGCGUGCCUAAUACAUGCAAGUCGAGCGAACAGAUGAUGAGCUUGCUCCUCUGACGUUAGCGGCGGACGGGUGAGUAACACGUGUAUAACCUACCUAUAAGUCUGGUAUCACUUCGGGAAACCGGAGCUAAUACCGUAUAAUAUAUUGAUCCGCAUGGUUCAAUGGUAAAAUUCGGUUUUGCUGUCACUUCUAGCUGCUUCCGGGCUGCAUGGGCUAGUUGGUAGGGUCACGGCCUUCCAAGGCAACGAUGCGUAGCCGACCUGAGAGAGGGAUAGCCCACACUGGAAGUGGGCCAGGGACAAGAGUACUGAGGGAGGGAGCAGUAGGGAAUGUUCGGCAAUGGGCGAAAGCCUGACGGAGCGGCGCGGAGUGAGUGAUGAAGGUGUUGGGAUCGGAAAACCCGGUUAUUGGGGAAGAACAAAUGUGGACGUAAAUAUGGCCGGAUUGACGGUAAUUAAUAAGAAAGCAACGGCUAACUACGUG
Molecule: ribosomal RNA, 497 nt
Filed under: uncultured bacterium
Lineage: Bacteria
Description: partial 16S ribosomal RNA
Rfam family: Bacterial small subunit ribosomal RNA
Source: RNAcentral